GCCCUGCAGCUCGCAUUGUUAUUCAGCAGGAACAGUUACAGGCAGAGCAUUUAGGGUGCAGUAGGGAGGCCUGUGGUUGGGGGUGGGGGUGGGGCUGGAUCCCACAGGCUUGCCCCUUUUUGGUGGAGACAGGGUGAGGUGGGAUAGUUCUGGAUAGAUAGGGAAGGAGGUUAUGAUCUCAUUCUGCCCCAAGCGUCACGAUUUAUUAAGAGCAGUAGGACUCUGGUUUUGACUGUCAGAUUCCUGCAGAGGCAUGGCUUUGAGCUCAGUAGACCAUCUUAGCCUCUAUUUGCAGCCAUCGCUGGAAUCUUGGGAGACUGCAGCAUCUGUACAGUGCACUGGGCAUUUCAGGAAACUGCUUGACUAAGUAAAACACAGCUAUCAACCUGUUGUUGAGAAAAUCUGACUUACGGAACGUUUUCCUUCAGGAAAUAGCAUUAAGAAAUCGAUCUGUCCACAUCCUGCACAGGUGUGUCACACGGUACAACCUGUUCUUCUUGGAUACUUGUUUUCUUGUGAUUGGUUGAAUCUAGGAAAUACAGGAACCAGGGGAUUCAGAGCAAACUGGUGAGGCCAGGCUGUGUUGAAGGAAGAGGGGGAUUCACUGAGAGUGCCGAAGAGGCUGCCUGUCUCAGAACGUUUGGAAAUUGGAAAAAUCAAAAUGUGCAACAGAGUAAAGAAAGCAGGAGGCUAAUUGCCAAAUGGAAGAUACAGUCAGGAUUUCCAGGUCCAAGGAGGAAAAGGCAGACACAAGGAAGGAGAGAGGAGUUUCUGCCAUGCAUUGGAGGGAGAAGAACACAGCAACCACGUGAGUGAGUUCUCCAGAUCAACAUGUAGAACUCUCGGCUCCUCAAGCACCAUGACUGCCUGCAUGCUGCUAUGCUUUCAAUGAAGAUGAUAAUGGACUGAAAAUACAAAACUGUAUGCCAGCUACAAUUAAAUGUUUGCCUUUGUAAGAGUUGCCUUGGUGAUAUAAGAUACAAUUUGCUAAACA
This is a long non-coding RNA of Mus musculus (house mouse), 994 nucleotides long. RefSeq annotates it as predicted gene, 39767. The record is from RefSeq and is a predicted model, not a curated record. Lineage: Eukaryota; Metazoa; Chordata; Mammalia; Rodentia; Muridae. The transcript is spliced from 6 exons.